This 234-nucleotide unclassified non-coding RNA is filed under the name fungal sp. RNAcentral describes it as "partial internal transcribed spacer region". The stretch from base 1 to 46 matches the Rfam family "Eukaryotic small subunit ribosomal RNA", at positions 1786 to 1831 of the family's 1831-position model. Lineage: Eukaryota; Fungi. The record is from RNAcentral.
AAGUCGUAACAAGGUUUCCGUAGGUGAACCUGCGGAAGGAUCAUUAAAAAAAGGGUCGCAAGACCUAUUUUUAAACACUAUCGCCGCCUAUCAUCUAUGGGUAGGAUACUCUUGUCUAUGGGUGAGAUGGAGGAGGUAGGGUUUUUAAAAUCCAAUUAUUAUUAUAAAAUAUAUCGUCUAAUGACGAACCAAAAAAAUUUAUUAAAACUUUCAACAAUGGAUCUCUUGGCUCUC